Molecule: long non-coding RNA, 450 nt
Organism: Sarcophilus harrisii (Tasmanian devil)
Lineage: Eukaryota; Metazoa; Chordata; Mammalia; Dasyuromorphia; Dasyuridae
Exons: 4
Source: RefSeq, a predicted model, not a curated record
AGAAAAAGAAAAAAAGCAGCAUGAAUCAAAAAUCCAAUGGAAGUGAGUGAAAAGUCCAACAAAUACCAAGAACUUGGCUCUCAGAUAUUAGUGCAUUAUUUGGUGCACUGGUUCCAUCUGCUGGACAGGAUUAAAACUGAUGAAUUCUGAAAGGACUAGCUCAUAGACUGUCAUAAUUCAAUCAAGGGAAGACAACAUUAAGAUAAAACAUAGACUCUGUCUUCUGGAAGGAAAGUAGGCUCAGAGGGUGAAACUAGGGGUGAGGAUAGAGAGGAGCUAAUGAUAACUCUGCCUAACAAAAGAAGCAAAGAAAGAUGGAUGAUUAUUUAAGUAUUUUUAAUGAAUACAAGAAAACAGUUGGAAGUUUUCCACUUCCACAAGUGGAAGCACAACAAAGAAAACACUCUUGAAAAUAACAUGUUGAAUUUAUUAUGUACUUUUUAAAAGUAA